RNAcentral lists this small RNA (29 nucleotides) under Bombyx mori (domestic silkworm). RNAcentral's name for it is "ovarian small RNA-937". Lineage: Eukaryota; Metazoa; Arthropoda; Insecta; Lepidoptera; Bombycidae. The record is from RNAcentral.
UUGCUAUGGGACGACUGUCGAUGACUUGC